UUUAGAACUUAUGGGAUUUGAGCACUUGGAAAGAUGCACAUUUGUCGUCUGGAAACAUCACCUUUUAUGUACCUUUAUCAUAAAUCUUUCUUUAUAUAACUUAUUUAAUCUUUUGGGAAGUUAUACCUUUUAUCCUUGGCUUUUGCAUGUAGUAGUUGCGUCUUCAAUGACUUUUACUUGGGUUCCAAAUUCCUGUGGAUUGGUAAACUAUUGCAUGAUAAUUUCAUGAGUUUGCCCCAAAAUCUGGAACCAACAUAAAGGGCUGAAAUUAUGUUCCAUAAUGCAACUUCAAUGGUGGUGGUUAGGGGUAUAAAUAGGGGCUUCUAUUAUUGCCCUAAUCAUUCCAAUUGUCUGAUUUUCUUUUGAGAGACUAGGAUUUUCUUCCUAUCUUCAGUUCGUCUUGUCCCCUUCGAGUUCAACCGUCGAUUGGAAGUUUUGCUCAGUAUUCUAAGUGAAUCCUUGUGAGAAGAUUGUUCGAGAUCUGGGUUGAGAUCUUUUGAUCCAUAGAAGCAACUUCAACGUUAAAGGAUCUGGGUUUGUGGCUACUAGGAUACAAAAUGGUACAAUAUAAUCUGAGCCCAUUUUGAGAUAUCUUGAUAUCUUUCGUGUUCUGGUUCUAGUUGUAAACUUCUCUGAAGGGUUUGUAUGAUUUGAAUCUUUGAAGAGUAAUAUUUGUAUAAUAGUCGUAUCAGAGAUUAAACUAUCUAUUUUUCGAUUUUCGAUGGUCGAUUGACCGUAAAAAAUCAAUUUUCAUAGUUGAUUUUGGUUUCAAUCAUUUAAGAUCUCAAAGUUUUUUCCAAAACCCUAGAUCUAUUUUUGAAAGAUCUAGUCACCGGAAGGUUUAUUGAACUUUCAAUUGAAUAUUUGACACAAGAAAAACUUUUUACACAGUUCGAACUAUUUAGAUCUAGUAUUUUUAUAACCUUAGAUCCAAACACAAUGAAUGAUCCUGCCUUUAGUGGCUGUUCUUGGUUACAAAAUUAUUUUCUAACUUAAAUAUUUGGUGUUUCUUGUAAGAUUUGGGUUGAAACCCUUGAUCUAGAAAACUUGCAAACAAUUUGAAACUACUGAACAUUGUGUUGACUUCUUGACCUCUUUUCAUGCCUGUGGUGCUUAUGGUGAUCAAACCUCCAAAGCAACAUCUUGGUUUGCAAUUUUUAAACCCUUACUAUGUUCUGUGACUACAUUUUUCACCAUCUUUUCCCUUAACUUUGAAAUGUUGCAUAUCAUUGACUUUGCGUCACUUCUGCAUGCGCACUAAGCUCCGUUGUUAAAUCUGAUGUCCUCUAAUCUUGUUAUUACUGAAGUGUUUUAAAUUUUGCCUUGAAAUUGGAACUUGAUUCACGAAUCCUAGUGAAUUUGGACAUAUUGUGAUCCCAGUUAAAACUGAAAUUUACAGUACUGCUUUAUCAUUGACAUUACUAUAUGUCCUGAAUUGAUUAGUUAAGGAAAUUAACAUUGUGCAUACUGUAUAUUUCUUUUGCUGAUUUUUUUUUGAGUGAAUGAUGCAUCUCGUUCCAAAUCAUUUUGGUGGACCCGAAAUAUAACGUGCAUCGAUAAUAGAUGUUGACUAAAUGUCAGAUCAAUCACUAAGGCUGACUAUUGAGUUGCUAAGCACCAAAUAAGAUGCUUAUGAAAAAAAUAUAUGCAAUGGGCCCAAUAUAAUUACUAAGUGCUUUAUCAAAAUGAAUCAUAUAACACAAUAUGUUGUGUGGUUAUUACUUUAAAACCAUUAGGCUCCUCUAACUAUAAAGAACCAAUUGCUACUUGUAGUAAAAAUUAUAAGAAAAUAUAUGAGUUGAUAACUCAGUGAAUGGAGAAAGUUUGAAAACAAUUAUACUUUCACAUUUAUACAUUUUAUCGAAAAUCAAGUUGACAUCAUUUAACAUUUCACAUUAUAAUAACAUAUUAGAAUAAUCAAGACGUGAGACACUUGUAACACUGAAAAAUAUUAUUUCAUAGUCAUGAUAUAAUCAUCAACUCAAAUCCAUAUCAUCAUCUCAUUACAUCACAUGUAAUCUACCGAAUAUGUACCCUCUGACUAAAAUUUGUAAUUUGUCCCUCGAGUUAAACACUUUUGCCACGAGUUUUUGGCCCCUUCCGUGAAUAAAAGCUGGUCUUCAAAACCUCUAAUAAUCGGUUUUAGAACGCGAUCAAAGUCACUCAGUGAACUAUAUGUACAUAGUCAAGACCAAUGCUCGGUUAAGACCCCUCCGUGUAGGAUAGAAAAUGGCUAAGGACUCUCUGUUAACUAUAAGAAAUAUAUGUUCACGAGUACAUUUCUGGUCGAUCUUAGUAUCACAUGUCACAUUCCAAUUUACAAGUAAUUCAUAUACAAUCUAUCUUAUUCAUAUAUAUCUUAACGAAAGAACCUUUCAUAGUAAUCAUGUAUUUGUACAAGAAAUUCAUGUAAUUGUACAUAAUGUAAUAAUAUAAUUAAUUUAUCAAUAUAUGAAAAUAUUUGAGUUUUUUCGCUCACCAAAUUGUAGACCCAUUGCAACUACAAUCUUCUCGUCACCUUCUCACAUUCAAAUAUCAAAUAUGACAUCUCGCACUAGCUCUAAGAAAUCAGAUUUCUUUACAAAGGUUCCUUGAACGUUUAUCCUACCAUUAGUAAUAAGGAUUUACCAAUUGGAACUUGAUGUUUUCUAUUUUCAAUGUCAUAAAUUAGAGUCACUAAUCACAGAUACUCCUAUAUAUAAGUUAUUUUAACACCUAAUCCUAAUAUUUACAUUUAAUUUGAGGAAACUCACAGGAUGGACAAAACUAGCACUCUAUUUCCAGAAUAUUAAAAUAUGACACGGAUGUUUAUUUAUUGAAAACUGUCUCCAAACCCCUUUGACAAAAAUAACACUUUCUAGAUAGAAUUUCAAAAAAGCUCCUGUGCAUGAAUUUUGCACGAAAAUUGAUUAAAAAUACCAAAAUCCACUGUAAUACAUCAUAAUCAAGUGUUUGGUAUCAUGUACACACAAUAGAUUUAGAAUUUGAGACUAAUUUACAAACCCAUUUCAUGUCUCUUGUAUACGUCAAUAUAAACCUUUCAUAUUCAUAUUUCUUUGCAAUAGUAUUCUUAAAUUACUGAAAUACACCUUAAUAAUUUUAAUUCUUGCCAAACUUUGAAAAUAAACAAAUUUUCACAAACCCUAAUAUAUAUUUAACAUUCUUAUACUUACCUCUAUAAAUUAAAAAGAACCCACCUAAAAUAAGUGUUUACCCAUCAUUUCCAAUCUCCAAAUCGGCCUCUGAUUUCUUCUUUCUUUCUCUCUUUCCUUUUCUUCUCCCGUUUUUCCCUUUCUCGAUUUAUAUCUUACAUUCUAGUUUCUUCCUUUGUAAAAUGAAUCGCUUUCCUUUAUUUUAGUAAAUUAAUAUAGUGUAAUUUCAAGUCAAUAUUCCUUGCUUCUUACAAUAUUACUUUUUAGUCAUCUCAUUUACCGUAUUAGAAAUUAAAUCCUUAAAUUCCUUUUUUAUAUAAUUUCUAGCCCUUUAAGUAUUAGCAAUUACAAGUUAGACUCAAUGAAAAUCAUUUGUUCAGUUUAAGUCGUUAUUUGACUUUGAUUGUAAGUGAAUGGGGGUAUAAAAGUGAACUUACUUGAGCCUCAUACUCUGCCAUUUAAACCAGUUAAUAUUUUGUGUCAAUUUUAAUUUUUUUUUUCAAGUGUGUUUGUCAUUUUUACAAAAAAUUUAUAUUUUUUUCAGAAUGAUGACAACAAGUUUUGACCUUGGGGUUUUUGAUGGGAAAGAAGAUCUUCAUAUUUAGCAACAAAAAUUGAAGGAGGUCUUGUUAAACAAAACGUUUCAAAAGACAAUGAGGAAGAUUAUUUUAAUUCUAUGAUCGCUGAGCAAAAAUUUGAAGCUGGUGAGAUUGCUUAUAGGUCUAUUAUUUGUCAUUUGUGUAAUCAAGUUUUGAAAAAGUAGGAAAAUUAGAUUCUACUGAACUCUUGAGAAAAAAGUUAGAAGACUAACUUUACUUGGUCAAAUCUUUGCCAAAUAAAUAUUUUUUUCUCUUGGAAAGGGUUUUUAGCUUUAAAUUGAUUCUUCAAAAGACUUAGAUGAAAAUUAGAUACCUUUAAUAAAUUGGUACAAUAUAUAGUGAACACUAAGGAAAAAGUAUCUAAGGAGUAUAAGGCUAUUAUACUCCUCAAUGCCCCGAAGCCUAUAGGAAUGUAAACGUUCCCAUUAAGUAUUGUAGGGAUAAUCACACUCCUAAAAUUGUCAUUUAACUCUUUUAGGAGUAAAUAGAUGGAAUUAAAAUUUGAAAAGCUUGAAAAUAGUAACUUUGAAAGUUUAUUUGUCGGAGGAAGAACAUAAAAUAGGAAUGAAGAAGAUCAUAGUACUCAGGGAAAAAAUCACAAGAAAAAGAAUAGAAGAGGACUGGAAUAAAGUCUAGGGUUAAGAAUAAAAUAUUUUAUAAGUUUGAGAAAAUUGGUCAUUACAUAAAAGGCAGUUACAAAAAAAAAAAAAAAAAGGGGAACAGAGAGAAUAAUUAGUUGAUGAAUGAAAUGUAGUUGAAUCCCUUGAAACUAAUACUAUUGAAGUCUAUGUUAUUACUAAAUUAGUAUCUAAUCUGUACUUGCUACCAUUUUUGGAAAUUGUGAUGAGAUCUAAGAAUGGAUCUAGGAUUCCGACUGCACUUUCGACAUGACCUCUAAGAGGAGUUGGUUAGUAAACUUUAAGAAAAUUAAUGGCGUGAAGUGGUUAUGGGGAAUUAAAAGAGAAAUUGAAGAACCCUACUAAAAUACAUGUUUACCCAUCAUUUCCCAUCUCCAAAUCGGCCUCUGAUUUCUUCUUCUACUUCUUCUUCUUUCUUUCUUUGUUUUUCUUCUCUUGUUUUUCCCUUUCUCAAUUUAUAUCUCUCAUUCUAGUUUCUUCCUUUGUAAAAUGAAUCACUUUCCUUUAUUUUAGUAAAUUAAUAUAGUGUAAUUUCAAGUCAAUAUUCCUUGCUUCUUACAAUAUAACUUUUUAGUCAUCUCAUUUACCGUAUUAGAAAUUAAAUCCUUAAAUUCCUUUUUAUAUAAUUUCUAGCCCUUUAAGUAUUAGCAAUUACAAGUUAGACCCAAUAAAAAUCAUUUAUUUAGCUUAAGUCCUAUUUGACUUUGACUAUAAUUGAAUGGGGUAUAACACUAAACUUACUUGAGCCUCAUAAUUUGCCAUUUAAACCAAUUAAUAUUUGGUGUUGAAUUUUUUUUUUUUUUGAAAGUGUGUUUGUUAUUUUACAAAAAACUAACUUUGUGUUUGAUAUUUUUUUCAGAAUGAUGACAACAACUUUUGAACGUGGGGUUUUUGAUGGGAAAGGAGAUUUUCAUAUUUAGCAACAAAAAUUGAAGGAGGUCUUGUUCAACAAAAAGUUUCAAAAGCCAUUGAAGAAGAUUAUUCUAAUUCCACGAUUGUUGAGCAAAAAUUUGAAGCUAGCGAGCUUGCUUAUAUGUCUAUUAUUCUUCAUUCGUAUAAUCAAGUUUUGAAAAAGUAGGAAAAUUAGAUUCUACCGAACUCUUGUGAAAAAAGUUAGAAGACUAACUUUACUUCGUCAAAUCUUUGCCAAAUAAAUUUUUUUCUCUUG
Molecule: long non-coding RNA, 5557 nt
Filed under: Olea europaea (common olive)
Lineage: Eukaryota; Viridiplantae; Streptophyta; Magnoliopsida; Lamiales; Oleaceae
Description: long non-coding RNA (OEUR_LNC014804)
Source: RNAcentral